AUUGAACGCUGGCGGCAUGCCUUACACAUGCAAGUCGAACGGCAGCACGGGAGCAAUCCUGGUGGCGAGUGGCGAACGGGUGAGUAAUAUAUCGGAACGUGCCCAGUCGUGGGGAUAACGUAGCGAAAGCUACGCUAAUACCGCAUACGAUCUAUGGAUGAAAGCGGGGGAUCGCAAGACCUCGCGCGAUUGGAGCGGCCGAUAUCAGAUUAGGUAGUUGGUGAGGGUAAAGGCUCACCAAGCCGACGAUCUGUAGCUGGUCUGAGAGGACGACCAGCCACACUGGGACUGAGACACGGCCCAGACUCCUACGGGAGGCAGCAGUGGGGAAUUUUGGACAAUGGGCGCAAGCCUGAUCCAGCAAUGCCGCGUGCAGGAUGAA
This 382-nucleotide ribosomal RNA is filed under the name uncultured bacterium. RNAcentral's name for it is "bacterial SSU rRNA". It matches the Rfam family "Bacterial small subunit ribosomal RNA", at positions 30 to 412 of the family's 1533-position model. The record is from RNAcentral.